CUUUGAUAUGAUUAUGAUCAGUUGCACGUUCGACGAUUUCAUUUUUAUCAUUUAGUUUAACGUAUGACUAACACGUUUCUUUUACAGCAAUUUCGACGUUGAAUAUCGUUCUUCAAUAUUUUAUGGUAACGAGAUUUGUGUCCAUCGAUGUUAAAUAAAGUUUUGUUUUUUUCACUUAAAAUCGCCGACGUCAUUUUAUGCGAA
Non-coding RNA from Cinara cedri, 204 nucleotides. NCBI's taxonomy places the organism in Eukaryota, Metazoa, Arthropoda, Insecta, Hemiptera, Aphididae. The record is from the annotation of a GenBank genome assembly.